RNAcentral lists this ribosomal RNA (443 nucleotides) under uncultured bacterium. Its description in RNAcentral is "partial 16S ribosomal RNA". It matches the Rfam family "Bacterial small subunit ribosomal RNA", at positions 338 to 795 of the family's 1533-position model. The record is from RNAcentral.
CCUACGGGAGGCAGCAGUGAGGAAUAUUGGGCAAUGGGCGCAAGCCUGACCCAGCAACGCCGCGUGAAGGACGAAGGCUUUCAGGUUGUAAACUUCUUUUAUCAAGGACGAAGCAAGUGACGGUACCUGAUGACUAAGCCACGGCUAACUACGUGCCAGCAGCCGCUGUAAUACGUAGGUGGCAAGCGUUCUCCGGAUUUACUGGGUGUAAAGGGCGUGUAGGCGGGAGUGCAAGUCAGAUGUGAAAACUAUGGGCUCAACCCACAGCCUGCAUUUGAACCUGUACGUCUUGAGUGCUGGAGAGGUAAUCGGAAUGCGGGGUGUAGCGGUGAAAUGCGUAGAUAUAGGGAGGAACACCAGUGGCGAAGGCGGAUUGCUGGACAGGAACUGACGCUGAGGCGCGAAAGCGUGGGGAGCAAACAGGAUUAGAUACCCUUGUAGUC